GAUGGCGAAGGCAGCUUCCUGGCAUCAUACUGACACUGAGGCUCGAAAGCGUGGGUAGCAAACAGGAUUAGAUACCCUGGUAGUCCACGCCGUAAACGAUGUCUACUAGUCGUUGGGUCCCUUGAGGACUUAGUGACGCAGCUAACGCAAUAAGUAGACCGCCUGGGGAGUACGGCCGCAAGGUUAAAACUCAAAUGAAUNGACGGGGGCCCGCACNAGCGGUGGAGCAUGUGGUUUANUUCGAUGCAACGCGAAGAACCUUACCUGGUCUUGACAUACACAGAAUCUUGUAGAGAUACGAGAGUGCCUUCGGGAAUUGUGAUACAGGUGCUGCAUGGCUGUCGUCAGCUNGUGUCGUGAGAUGUUGGGUUAAGUCCCGCAACGAGCGCAACCCUUGUCCUUAGUUACCAGCGGGUUAAGCCGGGAACUCUAAGGAUACUGCCAGUGACAAACUGGAGGAAGGCGGGGACGACGUCAAGUCAUCAUGGCCCUUACGACCAGGGCUACACACNUGCUACAAUGGUAGGUACAGAGGGCAGCUACACAGCGAUGUGAUGCGAAUCUCAAAAAGCCUAUCGUAGUCCAGAUUGGAGUCUGCAACUCGACUCCAUGAAGUAGGAAUCGCUAGUAAUCGCGGAUCAGAAUGCCGCGGUGAAUACGUUCCCGGGCCUUGUACACACCGCCCGUCACACCAUGGGAGUUGAUUGCACCAGAAGUGGUUAGCCGA
This 727-nucleotide ribosomal RNA is filed under the name Psychrobacter celer. RNAcentral describes it as "bacterial SSU rRNA". It matches the Rfam family "Bacterial small subunit ribosomal RNA", at positions 711 to 1437 of the family's 1533-position model. The record is from RNAcentral. Lineage: Bacteria; Pseudomonadati; Pseudomonadota; Gammaproteobacteria; Moraxellales; Moraxellaceae.